UACAUUUUAAUUUUUAACUCUAUUUGUUGUUAUAUUACUUUUUUCUUAUUCUUUUUUAUGUUUUUUUUUGUAAAAAGUUUUGAUUUUUUUGUAUUUUUUUGUAAUAUUUAAAAUUUGUUUUUUGAACUGGAUUAGUACCCAGGUAAUCAAAGUUUAUUAAUUCGGGAGUAAAGUUUUGUUUAAACCGAAAAAAUAUUGACUGACUUUAGAUUUUUCUUUGGAAUAUGUGUUUUUGGAGAGCCCUCUUUUUUGGUGAAUUUUAUUGGCACAUGUAUGAUUGUUUAGUUUUUA
Molecule: ribosomal RNA, 291 nt
Filed under: Dirofilaria repens
Lineage: Eukaryota; Metazoa; Nematoda; Chromadorea; Rhabditida; Onchocercidae
Description: partial small subunit ribosomal RNA
Source: RNAcentral